AAAAGCCAGAAGAACAAGAGCCAAGGUUCAUCCCUGAAACCCAAAAUGGUUAUGGCCUUUACGGCCACGAGUCAGGCUCAGGCUCAAGCCGGCCCAGUUUCACCACCAAAGAAACCUAUGAACCCUAUGUCACCCCUGUUAGAUUCCACCCUGAUGAGCCCUAUAACAGCAUCCCCGAAUCCUCCAACAAUAAAGACACUUACUACUACAACAAGAAUGCCUACGAGUCCACUAAGCAGCAAAACUUGGGCGAGGCCAUUUUCACCGAGAAAGGAUGGAGCACCAAGGAAAACCAGAACAACAA
Molecule: long non-coding RNA, 304 nt
Filed under: Gossypium barbadense (sea-island cotton)
Lineage: Eukaryota; Viridiplantae; Streptophyta; Magnoliopsida; Malvales; Malvaceae
Description: long non-coding RNA (GBAR_LNC003806)
Source: RNAcentral